GUGUGAGCAACCUGCCUUUCAGAGGGGGACGAACAGUUGGAAACGACUGCUAAUACCGCAUAAUGUAUUGGAAGGGCAUCCUUUUGAUACCAAAGGAGCAAUCCGCUGAAAGAUGGGCUCACAUCUGAUUAGCUAGUUGGUGGGGUAACGGCCUACCAAGGCUGCGAUCAGUAGCCGGACUGAGAGGUUGAACGGCCACAUUGGGACUGAGAUACGGCCCAGACUCCUACGGGAGGCAGCAGUGGGGAAUAUUGGGCAAUGGGCGAAAGCCUGAACCCCCAGCAACGCCGCGUGAAGGAAGAAGGUCUUCGGAUUGUAAACUUCUUUUAUGAGGGACGAAGGACGUGACGGUACCUCAUGAAUAAGCCACGGCUAACUACGUGCCAGCAGCGGC
Molecule: ribosomal RNA, 394 nt
Filed under: uncultured bacterium
Lineage: Bacteria
Description: bacterial SSU rRNA
Rfam family: Bacterial small subunit ribosomal RNA
Source: RNAcentral